This 253-nucleotide ribosomal RNA is filed under the name uncultured bacterium. Its description in RNAcentral is "partial 16S ribosomal RNA". It matches the Rfam family "Bacterial small subunit ribosomal RNA", at positions 524 to 776 of the family's 1533-position model. The record is from RNAcentral.
UACGGGGGGGGCAAGCGUUGUUCGGAAUUACUGGGCGUAAAGGGCUCGUAGGUGGCCAACUAAGUCAGACGUGAAAUCCCUCGGCUUAACCGGGGAACUGCGUCUGAUACUGGAUGGCUUGAGAUUGGGAGAGGGAUGCGGAAUUCCAGGUGUAGCGGUGAAAUGCGUAGAUAUCUGGAGGACCACCGGUGGCGAAGGCGGCAUCCUGGACCAACACUGACACUGAGGAGCGAAAGCCAGGGGAGCAAACGGG